AGACAAGCACAUGAAUUAGACAAGCAUAAUUUGACUCCUCAAAUAUUCCCAUUGCCAUGAUUCAAGAAUAGAUACAAUAUGCAGAUAACAGCCCAGCAGAAAGCAAAAUGGGGAAGCUAAAUUUCAUUAGACACCAGAUAGUGCAGCAAUUAAUCAUAAUUGAUUAUUCAAUAUUUUUAUUCUCCACAGAAGACACUGCACUAACUAAUCAUAAACUACCUUCACAUAUCCAGCUAAAAUCAAGAUCUAGGUUUUCAUCAACUUAAUGACACUCCACAAAACUACAGCUUAGUUUUAAAAAAUACAAGACCGGCAUAAUAGUUGUCUCUCUCAUCCUUUGACUGUCUAGAAUUGUUUUCUUAUAAUGCUAAUUAAUAAUAAGCAGAGUUAACACAACAAUUAAGGAUGGUGGCCCAGCCACUACCAUGUGUUUCUUGAGUAGCAAUAUUAAAAAGGCAAGUCAAUAAUAAAUUUUGACAAUCUAUUACAAAGAAAGAAAGUAUGCAGCAAGCAUCAACCUCCUUAUCUUCUGCAAAACUUCCUUUUCAGGAUCCUUACUGCUUUCCCAAGUCUCCUUCAGCUUCUGCAAAUAUUUUAUCAUACCAUUAUGGUACUUCUGUAUCUCAGAGUAGUAUGCUUUCUUAUUAGACUUUAUGCACAGCUGCUGAUGAAUAACAGCAUCAGGGUGAAGAUUUCCUGAACAAAGUGAAUCACCCCAUUUGACAAAAGGAUUUCCAAAAUGAAAGUUGUCCCCAGCAAGCAAUGCUUGCACAACUUCUUCUGCAUCUGACCCUUUUGGUAGAAACUGCAUAAGAUAUUCUCUCUCAUUUUCUGACAAAUCGUUCUGCCAAACCUCAUAUGAAAGCACCUCAUUCAAAUUAUCCACCUCAAAAAUUUCUUGAGGAAUAGCAAGAACAUCUGCCAAGAUAUUGUGAUGUUGAGGAGCAGGAUCAACAAAUGCCCUCAAAUCAUUCUGACUUAAGCCAAUUUGUUCCCUUUUGGCAACAACCUUUUUACGGUUGCCAUCCCACUCCAGAGAAAUAUGAGACUUUACAUUUAACUUGUUUUUUGGUGAUUCCAAUUUUUUCUUUUUGGUUUUGUAUUGCUCCCAAGAACUGCAACCUGCAAUGCUGGAACCAUUAAGCCUUUUUCUUCGGUGAUCAGCCGCCAUUGACAGAAGAUGUUGACAAAUCCUCAGUGGAAGAUUAUAACAACAUAUUGAUCAAAGAUAACAAACACCUUCCCUCCAUAUGGUAACCUUGAAAGACCGAAUGAAUGUCCGUGGUCUCCAGAGCCCUAGCUAAUCCGCCGUCGUGAAGGCUAAUAGUGCUAAAGCACAAACGACAGCAGGCGAGGAAGCGAGCGAGCGAGCGACAGAGAGAGAGAAAUAGGUUUACCUUGGUUUUGGAUAAUCCGAUUGGCUAAUGGCCAGGUGUUUUGAGAGAGACACACACACGCACCACAAGAGGGAUUAGAGAAAGAUCAGGUUCCUCGGAACGGUUACGCUGAACAUUGAAUCGUUCAUUCGCGCGCUCGGGCGCGGCUUGGCUCCUACCUAUUGCUCCUUUGUCUUU
This 1574-nucleotide unclassified non-coding RNA is filed under the name Hevea brasiliensis (rubber tree). Lineage: Eukaryota; Viridiplantae; Streptophyta; Magnoliopsida; Malpighiales; Euphorbiaceae. The record is from RNAcentral.